RNAcentral lists this ribosomal RNA (482 nucleotides) under uncultured bacterium. RNAcentral describes it as "bacterial SSU rRNA". It matches the Rfam family "Bacterial small subunit ribosomal RNA", at positions 30 to 507 of the family's 1533-position model. The record is from RNAcentral.
AUUGAACGCUGGCGGAAUGCUUUACACAUGCAAGUCGAACGGCAGCACGGGGCAACCUGGUGGCGAGUGGCGAACGGGUGAGUAAUACAUCGGAACGUGCCCAAUCGUGGGGGAUAACGUAGCGAAAGUUACGCUAAUACCGCAUACGAUCUACGGAUGAAAGCGGGGGAUCGCAAGACCUCGCGCGAAUGGAGCGGCCGAUGUCAGAUUAGGUAGUUGGUGGGGUAAAGGCUCACCAAGCCGACGAUCUGUAGCUGGUCUGAGAGGACGACCAGCCACACUGGGACUGAGACACGGCCCAGACUCCUACGGGAGGCAGCAGUGGGGAAUUUUGGACAAUGGGCGCAAGCCUGAUCCAGCCAUUCCGCGUGCAGGAUGAAGGCCUUCGGGUUGUAAACUGCUUUUGUACGGAGCGAAAAGGCUCUGGUUAAUACCUGGAGUUUAUGACGGUACCGUAAGAAUAAGCACCGGCUAACUACGUG